GAUGUCCCUGUGAUUCUUAACCAAAGCAUGUUUGUGUGACGCAUGCCCAUGCUCUUGUGACCAAAGUGUGUUAGCUUAAGUUAUCAUUCCACCCUAGGAACCCUCUUAUGCCCUCUAAAUCCUACAUGUGGUGACAAAAACCCAGCAGAUCUCCCACCUCACCAUGCCCAAGGAUUUUCAAAGGUUUUCUCAGUCAUGUGACGUUUGUUCCGUGCUCAUCUAAGAACACCUAGAAGAAGUGGUGUUUGAAGGAGUCUACUCCAGUGGCUGCUGAUCAAGUGGAGGAGCCAUCUAACUGUGUAUUGGGUAGAGGGUUCUAGAGCCUCUUCUCUGCAACAAAGGCAAGCCCCGGUGCAUUUGCCCCUUCCUUGUAUUUUUAAAAAAGACUUUUAUACACUUAAGUCUAGUGAAAUGUGCAUUAAGUUUAUAGGAAUUGCUUGGAAACUAUUUGAUGCAUCGCUUACCUUGAUAUCCAUGCCUUUAUAGAUACUUCUGAUGGAGUAUCAAAAUAUGAUUUACAAAAAAAAUGCUUAGCCCUGCUUAGAUCUUGUGGAUAGAGGUUGCCCUUUGCAAUAAUGCCUAGCUCAGGGGUUAUCCCGAGGAAGGAUGACUUCUACCUGCAAGAAUAUUUUCAUUGGGAGCAUGGUGUGAUCUUACUGCAAAGUUCACUAUAAUGCUCUUUUCAUCCUAAGGAACACAAAACAAUCCUAAGGGUGGAAGUACUUAACUCGAGACUUGGGCUAGGAACAGGUGAUGCUCCACCCAGGUUAAUUAAGGAUUGGAUGCGUAUGUAGGCCUAUAUGAUCAAGGACUAUUUUAACUGGCCACAUGCCGUGGAUAUGGGACAGGGUAAGCUUGAACCUAACUAUUCCAUACGUGAAAAGAUAACCGCGCACUGGGCGUGGGAGAUGGUGGGAGUAGCGUGUACCCUCCUGGCUAGAGGCUGGACGGAGGAGUAUUGUGCUCCCAGGUAGCGCGGACCGGUUCACGUUGUGGAGGAUCUAUGGGAACGGUUGACAUAUGCAAGGGUUAAGUGCUACAUAUGUCGUGUGGUUAGAGAUCCUCAACUGAGUAAAUCGAUUUGGAUCGCCGUUAUAUCCCCGGAUAGUGAAGACUUGAUCUCUGACCUACAACCUAAGUCAGGAUGUGAACAUUAUGAAUAAAAAUGAUGUUGUAUUGAUGAGAUGGUGAAAUUAGACUAGAUGCAAACAGAGUCUAUUAAUAUUUAAUCUGGCGUUAAAAUGUUGAAAGUAAGGACUCACUUUAGUAGGCUAUUUCUGCAAAAGUACCUAAGUUGAUUCUUGCUAAAGCCUUUUCCUUGAUUCCUAUUUAACCAGCAUAUCCUUGAGAGUCAUUUUUCCUUAGUCGGGUAAGACUUGCGAAAGUACACUUCGUACUCAGGGUUUUCGAACCCAUGUUGUUGUAGGUGAUGAGGAGUACUCUAGGUGUUCCUGUGGCUGGAGGGCGUUUCCAGUUCUGGAAGAGGAUUAGUUAGGCUUGUGUAUAAGUUUUGGAGGGUUCCUACCUUCCUGCUAUUGUAAUAAGUUAUGCACUUUGAGUAUAUCAGGACUUGUAAUAAAUGUAACUCUUCCUAUGUAAUAAACUUCAGUUUUAGAAAUGAAAAGAAUGUUUUAUAAA
Molecule: long non-coding RNA, 1638 nt
Organism: Zea mays
Lineage: Eukaryota; Viridiplantae; Streptophyta; Magnoliopsida; Poales; Poaceae
Exons: 2
Source: RefSeq, a predicted model, not a curated record